Molecule: long non-coding RNA, 193 nt
Organism: Leopardus geoffroyi (Geoffroy's cat)
Lineage: Eukaryota; Metazoa; Chordata; Mammalia; Carnivora; Felidae
Exons: 3
Source: RefSeq, a predicted model, not a curated record
GAAAGAGACAGAGUGCAAGCAGGGGAGGGGCAGAGAGAGAGAGGGAGAGAGAGAAUCCCAAGCAGGUUCCAUGCCAUCAGCGUGGAGACUGACAUAGGGCUCAUCUCAGGAACUUGUGAGAUCAUGACUGGAGCUGAAAUCAAGACUCAGGUGCCCAGCUGACUGAGCUACCCAGGCGCCCCCUCCCACACUU